RNAcentral lists this ribosomal RNA (1500 nucleotides) under Escherichia coli. RNAcentral's name for it is "partial 23S ribosomal RNA". It matches the Rfam family "Bacterial large subunit ribosomal RNA", at positions 296 to 1794 of the family's 2925-position model. Lineage: Bacteria; Pseudomonadati; Pseudomonadota; Gammaproteobacteria; Enterobacterales; Enterobacteriaceae. The record is from RNAcentral.
CAGAGCCUGAAUCAGUGUGUGUGUUAGUGGAAGCGUCUGGAAAGGCGCGCGAUACAGGGUGACAGCCCCGUACACAAAAAUGCACAUGCUGUGAGCUCGAUGAGUAGGGCGGGACACGUGGUAUCCUGUCUGAAUAUGGGGGGACCAUCCUCCAAGGCUAAAUACUCCUGACUGACCGAUAGUGAACCAGUACCGUGAGGGAAAGGCGAAAAGAACCCCGGCGAGGGGAGUGAAAAAGAACCUGAAACCGUGUACGUACAAGCAGUGGGAGCACGCUUAGGCGUGUGACUGCGUACCUUUUGUAUAAUGGGUCAGCGACUUAUAUUCUGUAGCAAGGUUAACCGAAUAGGGGAGCCGAAGGGAAACCGAGUCUUAACUGGGCGUUAAGUUGCAGGGUAUAGACCCGAAACCCGGUGAUCUAGCCAUGGGCAGGUUGAAGGUUGGGUAACACUAACUGGAGGACCGAACCGACUAAUGUUGAAAAAUUAGCGGAUGACUUGUGGCUGGGGGUGAAAGGCCAAUCAAACCGGGAGAUAGCUGGUUCUCCCCGAAAGCUAUUUAGGUAGCGCCUCGUGAAUUCAUCUCCGGGGGUAGAGCACUGUUUCGGCAAGGGGGUCAUCCCGACUUACCAACCCGAUGCAAACUGCGAAUACCGGAGAAUGUUAUCACGGGAGACACACGGCGGGUGCUAACGUCCGUCGUGAAGAGGGAAACAACCCAGACCGCCAGCUAAGGUCCCAAAGUCAUGGUUAAGUGGGAAACGAUGUGGGAAGGCCCAGACAGCCAGGAUGUUGGCUUAGAAGCAGCCAUCAUUUAAAGAAAGCGUAAUAGCUCACUGGUCGAGUCGGCCUGCGCGGAAGAUGUAACGGGGCUAAACCAUGCACCGAAGCUGCGGCAGCGACGCUGAUGCGUUGUUGGGUAGGGGAGCGUUCUGUAAGCCUGCGAAGGUGUGCUGUGAGGCAUGCUGGAGGUAUCAGAAGUGCGAAUGCUGACAUAAGUAACGAUAAAGCGGGUGAAAAGCCCGCUCGCCGGAAGACCAAGGGUUCCUGUCCAACGUUAAUCGGGGCAGGGUGAGUCGACCCCUAAGGCGAGGCCGAAAGGCGUAGUCGAUGGGAAACAGGUUAAUAUUCCUGUACUUGGUGUUACUGCGAAGGGGGGACGGAGAAGGCUAUGUUGGCCGGGCGACGGUUGUCCCGGUUUAAGCGUGUAGGCUGGUUUUCCAGGCAAAUCCGGAAAAUCAAGGCUGAGGCGUGAUGACGAGGCACUACGGUGCUGAAGCAACAAAUGCCCUGCUUCCAGGAAAAGCCUCUAAGCAUCAGGUAACAUCAAAUCGUACCCCAAACCGACACAGGUGGUCAGGUAGAGAAUACCAAGGCGCUUGAGAGAACUCGGGUGAAGGAACUAGGCAAAAUGGUGCCGUAACUUCGGGAGAAGGCACGCUGAUAUGUAGGUGAAGUCCCUUGCGGAUGGAGCUGAAAUCAGUCGAAGAUACCAGCUGGC